AUUCUUAGUGGACAGCUCUCAUAUCCCCUCCAGGGAAAAUGAUGAAAAAUGUCUUCAGAAAAAUAGCUUUAUGAAGGCAAGAGGACUUUUUGCACCUGCAAGACAUGUCUGAAAGCUCCUCAGGUCAAAACACAAGUAGUCAAGAGAUUUGUCCAUCUAAUUCAUCAUACUACUCUGAUCCAAGUGAGACCCACACUGGGUCAGCUCCAUCAAGGAGAAGAACAUUCCACCCACGUUUGGAUUCUGGAAUAUCAUCCUUGCUUCCAUCAGAUUCUUGUAAGUACCUCACUUGGCACAAGGUAGACAUGACGUUCAAGGAAGUCAACUGCGUUGCCCAAGAGUAAGAGAAGGAAUCUCUGAAGAAGAGCAACUUUUCAGACAGGUAGAGUGUGCCUUGCUCCCAAGGAAAAGAGUUCUUGAAAAAAACAAAUGGGAAACAUGGCUACAAGAAAACUGGGAAGACUGCAAGAAUUUGAACAUUUCAUUUCAGGGUUUGGGGGAUCCUUACCAAGUUGAAAAUUUUAACAGAAUUCUUAGAAGACUAAUUCGAGUUGAAACCCUCUGGUUAGUGGAUAAUUCACUGGUGGACUUAAGUGCCAUAAGAUUGCCAAGCUGCAGAAUUUUAAAUAUGAGCAAAAACCAUCUCAUAUCUUUCAAACAGUUACCAAGGAUACCUCAGAUACAGCAUUUAUCCUUGGCCGAAAACCACAUUGAGACUCUUACUGGAUUCUCCAGUUUACGGUGCACUCCACUGGAAUCCCUUAUUCUCAAGAGGAACCCUUGUGAGUUCCACCAAAAUUACAGGAAGCAAUCCACCAAUAAGAAGACAGCACAAUUCAAAAGAGAAAGGACUUAAUGACAGAGCUAAUAAUAGUAUUCUCCUGUUUGCCAAACUUAAAAAUGCUGGAUGGAAUCUUGAAGCUACCAGAAGAUUGCUUAUCACCAGAAACCAAUAUUUUUUCAAAAAUAUGCCUUGUAUCCUAAUGCAGUCUGUAUAGAAAGAAAGCAAUCAUCAUUGUUGCUAAAAGCUAAUAAACACAGGACAUGCAUGAUUAAAUAUU
This is a long non-coding RNA of Homo sapiens (human), 1061 nucleotides long. Ensembl annotates it as leucine rich repeat containing 77, pseudogene. Its record names the gene LRRC77P. Lineage: Eukaryota; Metazoa; Chordata; Mammalia; Primates; Hominidae. The record is from Ensembl.